This 86-nucleotide transfer RNA is filed under the name Verrucomicrobiales bacterium. Its description in RNAcentral is "tRNA-Leu". It matches the Rfam family "tRNA". From Rfam's summary of the family: Transfer RNA (tRNA) molecules are approximately 80 nucleotides in length. The record is from RNAcentral. Lineage: Bacteria; Pseudomonadati; Verrucomicrobiota; Verrucomicrobiia; Verrucomicrobiales.
GCGGAUGUGGCGGAAUCGGCAGACGCUACGGACUUAAAAUCCGUUGCCCGUAGGGCGUGUGGGUUCAAGUCCCACCAUCCGCACCA